UACAGAGGUCCCAAGCGUUGUUCGGAUUCACUGGGCGUAAAGGGUGCGUAGGUGGCGGGGUAAGUUUGAUGUGAAAUCCCCAGGCUCAACCUGGGAACUGCGUCUGAUACUGGAUGGCUUGAAUCCGGGAGAGGGAUGCAGAAUUCCAGGUGUAGCGGUGAAAUGCGUAGAUAUCUGGAGGAAUACCGGUGGCGAAGGCGGCAUCCUGGACCGGCAUUGACGCUGAGGAGCGAAAGCCAGGGGAGCAAACGGG
Molecule: ribosomal RNA, 253 nt
Filed under: uncultured bacterium
Lineage: Bacteria
Description: partial 16S ribosomal RNA
Rfam family: Bacterial small subunit ribosomal RNA
Source: RNAcentral